GUUCACAAUGUGAUUGUGAGCAAUCAUAUUAUUUUCUUAGAAACAAUGGGAGGAUGAACUCAAAGAGAAAUCUCUAAAGAACAAUGAGUCACAGGACCUGUAUGACCUAUUUAAGAUGAGCCAGUUAUGUAUUACUUCCUCCACCUCAUAGAUCUAGUAGAAUCUUUCAUUCUUUAGAAAGGUACUUGGUAUUCUUAUAAAGAAUUCACAGAAAGUAUUUUUUAAGGA
This 228-nucleotide long non-coding RNA is filed under the name Elaeis guineensis (African oil palm). RNAcentral describes it as "long non-coding RNA (EGUI_LNC054832)". Lineage: Eukaryota; Viridiplantae; Streptophyta; Magnoliopsida; Arecales; Arecaceae. The record is from RNAcentral.